UAGCUUAUGCUCAACAUUUACUCUGAGUGGAGCAAUCCCUCAUUGUACAUUUACGCUUGUAUUGUUUGACUGUAAUAGUGAAUAUAUAAAGAGAAACAACUUUUAACAAUGGAUCUCUUGGCUCUUGCAACGAUGAAGAACGCAGUAAAGUGCGAUAUCUAGUGCGAUUUGCAUGAAUCUGUGAGUCAUCGAGUCUUUGAACGCAACUUGCGCCAAUUGAGCAAUCAAUUGGCAUGUCUGUUUGAGUAUCACAAACCCCUUUAUUCCAUUUAUGGAAUAGAUUUGAAGGCUCUGGAGUUUCCAGUCCUUUGAAAUAAAGUUUGUUGGUGAUUGAUUUUGUCACUAUCAUGUGCUAAAGACCUUGUGUCUUGUCAUGAUAGCUGCCUUAAGAAGUCCCAUUGUACAAAUCUCUUGUACAAAACUUACCUUUAAUGGUCUCAAAUCAGGCAAGACUACCCGCUGAACUUAA
This 469-nucleotide ribosomal RNA is filed under the name uncultured fungus. RNAcentral's name for it is "eukaryotic LSU rRNA". The stretch from base 98 to 251 matches the Rfam family "5.8S ribosomal RNA". The record is from RNAcentral. Lineage: Eukaryota; Fungi.